This 506-nucleotide ribosomal RNA is filed under the name uncultured bacterium. RNAcentral describes it as "bacterial SSU rRNA". It matches the Rfam family "Bacterial small subunit ribosomal RNA", at positions 9 to 526 of the family's 1533-position model. The record is from RNAcentral.
GAGUUUGAUCCUGGCUCAGGACGAACGCUGGCGGCGCGCCUAACACAUGCAAGUCGAACGGAGUCAAGAGGAGCUUGCUUUUCUUGACUUAGUGGCGAACGGGUGAGUAACGCGUGAGUAACCUGCCCUGGAGUGGGGGACAACAGUUGGAAACGACUGCUAAUACCGCAUAAGCCCACGAUCCGGCAUCGGAUUGAGGGAAAAGGAUUUAUUCGCUUCAGGAUGGACUCGCGUCCGAUUAGCUAGUUGGUGAGGUAAUGGCCCACCAAGGCGACGAUCAGUAGCCGGACUGAGAGGUUGAACGGCCACAUUGGGACUGAGACACGGCCCAGACUCCUACGGGAGGCAGCAGUGGGGAAUAUUGCACAAUGGGGGAAACCCUGAUGCAGCGACGCCGCGUGGAGGAAGAAGGUCUUCGGAUUGUAAACUCCUGUUGUUGAGGAAGAUAAUGACGGUACUCAACAAGGAAGUGACGGCUAACUACGUGCCAGCCGCCGCGGUAAUUC